This is a long non-coding RNA of Hirundo rustica (Barn swallow), 5851 nucleotides long. RefSeq lists it as uncharacterized. NCBI's taxonomy places the organism in Eukaryota, Metazoa, Chordata, Aves, Passeriformes, Hirundinidae. The record is from RefSeq and is a predicted model, not a curated record. The transcript is spliced from 3 exons.
CGCCUGCCCGGUUCUCGUCCCCCCAGCCCCAGAAUCUCUGCCCACGGACUCCAUUUCGUCGCGAUCCGCGUCUGUAUCUCCGGACGCACCCUCCGAUCGCGCCCCGUCGCGUCCCGCCGCAUUUCGACGCGAUAGUUUUUCCACGGGAAGGGAAAGGAGCAACGGCGACUGAGGAGUGUGUCGGCGCGGGGACCCUGGAGGCGUGAAGGGGCUCCUUUGUGGGCUUCUUCUCGCCCCCCCCCAUUUAUAUGAGGGGUUUGUUCUGGGACUGCUUCAAAGAAAAGCAUGUCAAAUUCCUCCUGUUCUCUUGGAUGUAUUAAAAGUUUGGGUUUUCCCGGUACUAAUUUUGGGGUUUCUGACGAGGCUUCUGUUGGACCUUGAGAUACCUGUGUUCUUCCCCCUCGCCUUCCCAUUCCCGUGGGGGAGGUAUCGACCUUGGAGUUAGCAUGGCUCUCUGUCCUGGCUCUGUGCUAUACUCUCUUUGUUUGCCUGGCUGCUGUCCAAACUUGCAGUUCUCUCUGCUAUAUUCUGUUAUAACUUCUAACAUAAUUCUCCCCACUGAUAAAAGCUUUGCGGGUAUUUUUUGCUUUCGUGUGGCUUUAUCAUAAAGAUUUCUGUUUACUUCUUGCCAAAAACCUGGCUCAAAAAGAGACUGGGUCUCACAUUGUGAAUAAUUACAUUUGACCCAUAACAUCAGGGCUUCGAGCUCUUUAUCUUUCAGCGCUGCAUUAUAUUUUGAUAUCAAUUCUUUUAUAUUUUCUAAUAUUAUUGUUCUCUCUUGGGAACUAGUUCCCCCCAUCGCGCGGUGUGUUCUGAAUUUCACAGAUCUUACCAAAGUGAAACUUUCCCCAGCUGUGGUCCGAUUCGUCUCAGAGGUGUCCCGAUCUCCGUCCAGCAGAUCUCAGAGUGACGGGUUCCUAGGCCCAGUGGAAAACCGUCGUCUGGAACGAACUGGAGUGAGCUGGUGUUCUGGCCAGACAGGAAUGCCAGCCAGGAAAGUCAGAUGUCGUGCACCCAGACAUGCCAGGUGUUUCUGCACACUCAGGGACGGUAGAUGUUUCUUCUCACUGAGGGACGCCAGAUGUUUCUGUCCAGUCAGGGACGCCAGUUGUCGGGGGCUUUCCCCGGCAUUCAGGUGGUUUCAGGGUCCUUUGCUCCCCUGCGCAGCUCUGAGCCAAGCCGAAGGAAGAGACGGAGUUCUCAGGUUUAGAUUUUCAAGUGUUGUAUAAUUUGUUUAUUGUUUCUUAUCUUACAAUUUUCUCGGAGUCCGACAAGAUGUUCGCAGAUGCAUGGACUCCUCACGUCUCCCCCCGAGCUGGGUUGUCCUUAUCUUUUAUACUAAUUGCUACGUAUUUCUUGUUUACUAUUUCUUACCAAUGUCUAUCACUAUUACUGAAAAGGUCAUCUUUACUUUGACCCAAUCCUCACUAACUACUUUGUGCCACGUCACUGCAGCAAUGGAGAGAGGGAAGGAGAAGGAGAAGAAGAAGGAGACAGCGCCCCAGAUUCUCCAUCUUGUCCCCAUUCACUUCAAAGCUAGGAACCUAAAAUUACGAUUUUCUCACCCUGUGAUAAGCUAAACUACUAUUUUUUCACAUUCUUGCGGCCUGUAAACCUUCUCUUAGUAUAGGAAGUUUUUCCCAAGGACUGAAAUAAAAGCCAGUACCUCUCUGAGCUCUGGGCUGGGGUCCCAGACCCCCCUGCCAAGGUCCAUGACCCUCCAGGGCAACCAAAGGAAUACCCCGGACUCCAACAUCAAGGCAGGAAGAAAUGUAAAUUCAGAGACAGGAGAGCAAUUGAAGAAACAAAAUGAAAAAAAAGAGAAAAGGAAAAAGGAUAAAUUUCAAAACCAUGCGAAAUCAAUGAUAGUGAAUGGGAUGACAAGAAGUGCAGGGAAAUGGAGCAAAGCUUGCAAGUUUAAUCCUCAUUGAAAUUGCAAGAAUUCAUUCCCUUUGCUGAAAGUAAGGCUUUCCUUUCACCAAAGGGAAUGAAAUCAGGAACUCACAGAACCAAGUCUACCAAAUGCUCUGGAAAGGUGAUAUGAUCAAAAAAGUGUGGAAUGAAAAAAACUCCAGAAAUUAUGGAAAUGGAGGGAUCAGAGCCAAGAGGACUGAGAUGAAAUGAGGGCCAUUGAAAAAGUCCAUAGCUUGCUCAAAUUACUCCAAAUCCAAUCCUUAAAGGCAGGAAGAAAUGUAAAUUCAGAGAAAGUAGAGCAACUGAAGAAACAAAAUGUGAAAAAAAAAAAAAGGAAAAAUUUCAAAACGAUGUGAAAACAAUGAUAGUGAAAGGGAUGACAAGAAGUGCAGGGAAAAAAAGCAAUGCUUGCAAGUUUAAUCCUCAUUGAAAUAGCACUAUUACAUUCCCUUUGGUGAAAGUAAGGCUUUCCUUUCACCAAAGGGAAUGAAAUCAGGAACUCACAGAUCCAAGUCUAACAAAUGCUCUGGAAAGGAGAUAUGAUCAAAAAGAGUGGAAUGAAAAAACUGCAGAAAUUUUGGAAAUGGAGGGAUCAGAGCCAAGACAACUGAGAUGAAAUGAGGGCCAUUUAAAAAGAGCAUAACUUGCUCAAAUUACUCCAAUUCCUGCCCUUAAAGGCGGGAAGAAAUGUAAAAUCAGAGACAGGAGAGCAAUUGAAGAAGCAAAAUGAAAAAAAGAAAAAGGGAAAAAGGAAAAAUUUCAAAACCAUGUGAAAACAAUGAUAGCGAAUGGGAUGACAAGAAGUGCAUGGAAAAAAAGCAAUUCUUGCAAGUUUAUUCCUCAUCGAAAUUGCAAGAAUUCACUCCCUUUGCUGAAAGAAAGGCUUUCCUUUCAUGAAAGGGAAUGAAAUCUGGAACUCACAGAACCAAGUCUAACAAAUGCUCUGGAAAGGAGAUAUGAUCAAAAAGAAAUUAAUGGGAAAACAUCCAGAAUUCAUGGAAAUGGAGGGAUCAGAGCCAAGAGGACUGAUGAAAUGAGGGCCAGUGAAAAAGACCAUAACUUGCUCAAAUUACUCCAAAUCCAAUCCUUAAAGGCGGCAGGAAAUGUAAAUUCAGAGACAGGAGGGCAAUUGAAUAAACAAAAUGAAAAAAAAGAAAAAAGGGAAAGGGAAAAAUUUUAAAACCAUUUGAAAACAAUGAUAGUGUAUGGGAUGACAAGAAUGCAGGGAGAUGGAGCAUUUCUUGCCAGUUUAAUCCGCACUGAAAUUGAAAGGUUACUAUCCUUUUGGUGAAAGUAAGGCUUUCCUUUCUCCAAAGGGAAUAAAAUCUGGAACUCACAGAUCCAAGUCUAACAAAGGCUCUGGAAAGGAGAUAUGAUCAAAAAGAGUGGAAUGGAAAAAUUUCCAGAAAUUUUGGAAAUGGAGGUAUCACAGCCUAAGAGGUCUCAGAUGAAAUGAGGGCCAGUGAAAAAGACCAUAACUUGCUCAAAUUACUCAUAAUUCCAAUCCUUAAACACGGGAAGAAAUGUAAAUUGAUAGACAAAGUACGAAUAUGACGAAACAAAAUGUGAAAAAAAAAAAAAGGAAAAAUUUCAAAACCAUGUGAAAACAGUGAUAGUGAAUGGGAUGACAAGAAGUGCAGGGAAAUGGAGCAAAGCUUGCCAGUUUAAUCAUCAUUGAAAUUGCAAGACUUCAUUCCCUUUGCUGGAAGUAAGGCUUUCCUUUAAUGAAAGGGAAUGAAAUCUUGAACUCUCAGAACCAAGUCUACCAAAUGCUCUGGAAGGGAGAUAUGAUCAAAAGGAGUUGUAGUGGUGUGAGAGUUGUUUCAUUAAUUUAUUAAGUUAUUUUUGCAAGGUUUUUGAGGUAUUUUUCUAAUGGUUUAGUCCACUGUACCCCCCUGUGUUUUGGAAUAGUUUUCCCCUUACGAGUUAGGUAUUUAAGCAGACGUUUUCUUUCAGUCAUUCCUUCCCUGCACCUGUCCCUCUCAGUUCCCCCCCUCUCCUCGUGGUCGCCCUGUCUGUCACUUUUGAGACCGUUCCCUGGAUUCUGGAAAGAUCCAGGAGAGGUGUCGAGUGGUAGGCUGGUGCCCGGGAAAUCCUCUCCUACCCUCCUGUGAUUUGUAAAUGGUUCAAAAGUUGACACCCCUGUUUCCACCCCUGUGUUCCCUGGUUGGCUGACCUGUUGUCAGCCCUCCCCCGUUUAUAAGUAGCUGUCAAGCUUUGAUCUCUGCUCUCUCUGGGCAGCAGUGGUCUGAGGCGGAGCUCUUUGCCAGACUCCCUUUUAUAAACUACCUUCUACCCUGCCUAAAGAGAGACAACUCUUUUUCUCUCGCCGCCGUCGCAACUCCAUCAGGUCCACUCGUGGUGUGGGGAACCAAGAACCUACCUGGAGGAGGUUAUCGCCCUACCUGUAACCCCGACCGAAGCUCAUAGUAGCAGUGCAGAACUGAGCUAGCCUGCACGCCUGCCAGGCAUGAGAGGACACUGCUAUACGGAGUGGUGCCCGAACAAGGGGCACUCCAAGCCAGCAGAGCAGCUUGGACCCACGCGGGACCAGACCCACAGCGACAGUAUUGGCGCCCACCGCACGGUCCCCUAGACAGAGUGGACCGCUUGGCACGGAUUGGGGCUUCGAAGAGCCCGAAGCAGUCCUUGGACAUCGUGCUACCUCUGGUAAGAGCAGUUUCUGUAGAAACUUGCUCCCAGGGGAAGAAGAAGGCAGCUCUGGAGCACCCCCAGAGUCUUCUUCGGCGACAGACUGACAUCUCAAGGCUUUCCAAGUUCCACGGAAGGGGUGAAUAUUGCAAGCGGCACUUGCUUUUGGUGGGCUUCCCCCAGGGGGGGAGACCCAAUUUGGAGGAGUAAUCCUCAGGAAUCCUGAUAAAGGAUUUUGGCUGCGCAGCCUGGAGGCUUGGGGUUUGCCCCAGCUCUCUGUUGGAAACCUUCCGCAGAACCGUCUUUAGUUAAUUUUUGUUAUUUAAUCUUUUAGUUCGGUGCGAAUCGGAUUCACACGGUGGCUGUUUUCCGGGUUUUUGUAGCCACCUGCUUGCCUUUGUGGUUCCCCCGAGUGGGCGGAGAAGAGACCGUGUCUCGGUUUUAGGGAGAAAAAACCACAGUUAAGUUUUAUUUUCGGUUUCAGUUUGCCUGGCUGUUAGUUUGGGAACGACAUAUAUCGGGAUAGAUGGGUGUAAAACUCUCUGUCGUUCAAAAGAGUGUGUAUUAUACUUUAAUUUCAGUUGCACAGAGUGCUGAGUUAAAAGUUUCAAAAAGUGAUUUAAAACAUUUUGUUCCUUGGCUCUAUUCGCAUUUUCCGCGGGUGUCCCCCGACCAGAUCGUCAGCGCCGAGUUUUGGGGUGCUGUGAGAAGGAAAAUGACUCAAUUAGCUGCGUCGGGAGACAGAGACAUUUUAAAAUAUUUUAAUUUGGCAGCGCAGCUGUAUUCGGCAGUAAGGUCUCAGAAAGGAAUGCAAAAACCUCCAGAAUGCGAAAAGCCAUCCCCCAGUUCCUCUGUCCCUCUGCCCCAAACCCCUUAUCCCCGGAAAAGUACUCUGAAAGAAGCGGCAGGAGAUCUGCCUGCUAGCUCAGGUUUCCUCAGAAUUUUCCGAUCCCUAAGCCCACGCAGCCAGCAAGAUCUGCGCGGUUCACGUGGCUCUCACCAAGCUGCGUGGGACCUUUCAGGCAGCUCUGGCCAGGCUGCCUGAAAGCCCUUCCCGUUCCCGCGUUUCCCAGUGACUUAUUAAAGAAAUAUGGGUAUAGAUCUAGUAUUGAUACCCAACUGUGACGGACAAAAACUCUCUAACAGUUUAAAGUUAGAAAGUGUAUGUUUAUUACGGCCGGGCAGCACGCAGGAUAUUUCCCUAAUUCGCACUGCGAAAUUCACAGGUAAUUACAAAGUCUUUUAUUUACAAAAGUGUUGAAUAUCCAAAAUACAAAUGCAUAUU